This 507-nucleotide ribosomal RNA is filed under the name uncultured bacterium. RNAcentral's name for it is "partial 16S ribosomal RNA". It matches the Rfam family "Bacterial small subunit ribosomal RNA", at positions 28 to 507 of the family's 1533-position model. The record is from RNAcentral.
GACGAACGCUGGCGGCGUGCUUAACACAUGCAAGUCGAACGGGCCUUGUCCCCUUUUUUUUGUGGGUGGGUUUAGUGGCGAACGGGUGAGUAACACGGGAGUAACCUGUCCCUGACUUCGGGAUAACCGCUUGAAAGGGGGGCUAAUACGGGGUGAUCUUGCCUGCUCUGAUUGGUGGGUGUGGAAAGGUUUGACUGUCUCUGGUUGUUUGGUUGGGGGUGGGGCUCGCGGCAUAUCAGAUUGCUGGUGGGGUGGUGGCCGGUGGAGGAUUGGCCGGGUAGCCGGCCUGAGAGGGUGGGCGGUCACCCUGGGACUGAGACAUGCCCCAGACUCCUGCGGGGGGCAGGAGUGGGAACUAUUGCAAAAUGGGCGAAAGCCUGAUGCAGCGACGCCGCGUGAGAGAUGGAGGCCUUCGGGUUGUGACCCUCUUUCGCCAGUGAAGAAGGUCCUGCUCUUUGUGGUGGGGUUGACGGUAGCUGGGUUAAUGAAGCGCCGGCUAACUACGUG